AGAGACAGCAGCAGCCGCGGGAAUACAGAGGGUGCGAGCGUUAAUCGGAUUUACUGGGCGUAAAGCGUGCGUAGGCGGCUUUUUAAGUCGGAUGUGAAAUCCCUGAGCUUAACUUAGGAAUUGCAUUCGAUACUGGGAAGCUAGAGUAUGGGAGAGGAUGGUAGAAUUCCAGGUGUAGCGGUGAAAUGCGUAGAGAUCUGGAGGAAUACCGAUGGCGAAGGCAGCCAUCUGGCCUAAUACUGACGCUGAGGUACGAAAGCAUGGGGAGCAAACAGGAUUAGAUACCCCAGUAGUCCCUGUCUCUUAUAA
Molecule: ribosomal RNA, 309 nt
Filed under: uncultured bacterium
Lineage: Bacteria
Description: partial 16S ribosomal RNA
Rfam family: Bacterial small subunit ribosomal RNA
Source: RNAcentral